Molecule: ribosomal RNA, 446 nt
Filed under: uncultured bacterium
Lineage: Bacteria
Description: partial 16S ribosomal RNA
Rfam family: Bacterial small subunit ribosomal RNA
Source: RNAcentral
CCUACGGGUGGCAGCAGUCGAGAAUCAUUCACAAUGGGGGAAACCCUGAUGGUGCGACGCCGCGUGGGGGAAUGAAGGUCUUCGGAUUGUAAACCCCUGUCAUGUGGGAGCAAAUUAAAAUGAUCGUACCACAAGAGGAAGAGACUGCUAACUCUGUGCCAGCAGCCGCGGUAAUACAGAGGUCUCAAGCGUUGUUCGGAAUCACUGGGCGUAAAGCGUGCGUAGGCUGUUUCGUAAGUCGGGUGUGAAAGGCGCGGGCUCAACCCGCGGACGGCACAUGAUACUGGGAGGCUAGAGUAAUGGAGGGGGAGCCGGAAUUCUCGGUGUAGCAGUGAAAUGCGUAGAUAUCGGGAGGAACACUCGUGGCGAAGGCGGGUUACUGGACAAUAACUGACGCUGAGGCACGAAGGCCAGGGGAGCGAAAGGGAUUAGAUACCCUGGUAGUC